This is a long non-coding RNA of Asparagus officinalis (garden asparagus), 299 nucleotides long. RefSeq lists it as uncharacterized. Lineage: Eukaryota; Viridiplantae; Streptophyta; Magnoliopsida; Asparagales; Asparagaceae. The record is from RefSeq and is a predicted model, not a curated record. The transcript has 3 exons.
CAGAAUGGGAAAUAAAGUACCUUAUGCGAUUGGAAGUUAAAGAUCAUAUCAACAAGGCAUAUGUUACACUUUUCGAUGAAGCUCGGUAUCUAACUGGUUGUUCAGCUGAAGAAUAUGUAGAUUCAUUUACUGAAGAAGGAAAGGAGCACUUAUCGCCAAUGUACCAGAAAAUGAUGAGCUGUUGCGACAAAGAAUAUCUUUUCUUGGUAAAAAUGAACAGGAAAGAUGAAGAGAAAAGAAUUGAAGGAAGAAUAACCGCUCAAGAAAUAUGCAGCCCAAACAACUUCGAACCAAUAGAA